CAAUUGUGGACCACAUAAUUAACCAUGGCCUUACAAUGGACACCGAGUGCAGCCUAUGUAAACUGUGCUACAGUGUCGUCCAUUAUCAAAACAUUCUGCAGGGAAAACAGGUUUGCAUGCACUUCAGAGGCAUUUAUAUCUGUAGUGGGAUCCUCAUCAGUGACAACGUGAGUGCUUACUGCAGCCCACUGCAUAAUGAGUCAGACUCUCAGCAACUGGACAUUUUACAUGGGCAGGCAGGUUCAAG
Lampris incognitus (smalleye Pacific opah) is the source of this 247-nucleotide long non-coding RNA. RefSeq lists it as uncharacterized. The transcript has 3 exons. NCBI's taxonomy places the organism in Eukaryota, Metazoa, Chordata, Actinopteri, Lampriformes, Lampridae. The record is from RefSeq and is a predicted model, not a curated record.